This 497-nucleotide ribosomal RNA is filed under the name uncultured bacterium. Its description in RNAcentral is "partial 16S ribosomal RNA". It matches the Rfam family "Bacterial small subunit ribosomal RNA", at positions 28 to 507 of the family's 1533-position model. The record is from RNAcentral.
GAUGAACGCUGGCGGCGUGCCUAAUACAUGCAAGUCGAGCGAACAGACGAGGAGCUUGCUCCUCUGACGUUAGCGGCGGACGGGUGAGUAACACGUGGAUAACCUACCUAUAAGACUGGGAUAACUUCGGGAAACCGGAGCUAAUACCGGAUAAUAUAUUGAACCGCAUGGUUCAAUAGUGAAAGACGGUUUUGCUGUCACUUAUAGAUGGAUCCGCGCCGCAUUAGCUAGUUGGUAAGGUAACGGCUUACCAAGGCGACGAUGCGUAGCCGACCUGAGAGGGUGAUCGGCCACACUGGAACUGAGACACGGUCCAGACUCCUACGGGAGGAAGCAGUAGGGAAUCUUCCGCAAUGGGCGAAAGCCUGACGGAGCAACGCCGCGUGAGUGAUGAAGGUCUUCGGAUCGUAAAACUCUGUGAUUAGGGAAGAACAAAUGUGUAAGUAACUAUGCACGUCUUGACGGUACCUAAUCAGAAAGCCACGGCUAACUACGUG